UACGAAGGGUGCAAGCGUUACUCGGAAUUACUGGGCGUAAAGCGUGCGUAGGUGGUUCGUUAAGUCUGAUGUGAAAGCCCUGGGCUCAACCUGGGAAUGGCAUUGGAAACUGGCGACCUAGAGUGCGGUAGAGGGCAGUGGAAUUCCCGGUGUAGCAGUGAAAUGCGUAGAGAUCGGGAGGAACAUCUGUGGCGAAGGCGACUGCCUGGACCAGCACUGACACUGAGGCACGAAAGCUAGGGGAGCGAACGGG
RNAcentral lists this ribosomal RNA (253 nucleotides) under uncultured bacterium. RNAcentral's name for it is "partial 16S ribosomal RNA". It matches the Rfam family "Bacterial small subunit ribosomal RNA", at positions 524 to 776 of the family's 1533-position model. The record is from RNAcentral.